GACGAACGCUGGCGGCGUGCUUAACACAUGCAAGUCGAACGGAAAGGCCCUGCUUUUGUUGGGUUCUCGAGUGGCGAACGGGUGAGUAACACGUGAGUAACCUGCCCUUUACUUUGGGAUAACUUCAGGAAACUUGGUCUAAUACCGGAUAGGAUCUCCUGCUGCAUGGUGGGGUUUGGAAAGUUUCGUCGGUUGGGGAUGGACUCGCGGCUUAUCAGCUUGUUGGUGGGGUAGUGGCUUACCAAGGCUUUGACGGGUAGCCGGCCUGAGAGGGUGACCGGCGACAGUGGGACUGAGAUACGGCCCAGACUCCUACGGGAGGCAGAAGUGGGGAAUAUUGCACAAUGGGCGGAAGCCUGAUGCAGCAACGCAGCGUGCGGGAUGACGGCCUUCGGGUUGUAAACCGCUUUAGACUGUGGCGAAGCGUGAGUGACGGUAAUGGGUAAAGAAGCACCGGCUAACUACGUG
This 468-nucleotide ribosomal RNA is filed under the name uncultured bacterium. Its description in RNAcentral is "partial 16S ribosomal RNA". It matches the Rfam family "Bacterial small subunit ribosomal RNA", at positions 28 to 507 of the family's 1533-position model. The record is from RNAcentral.